AUAUUGCGCAAUGGAGGGAACUCUGACGCAGCGACGCCGCGUGAGCGAUGAAGGUUUUCGGAUCGUAAAACUCUGUCAUUGGGGAAGAAUAAAUGACGGUACCUGACUAAGAAGCCCCGGCUAACUACGUGCCAGCAGCCGCGGUAAUACGUAGGGGGCAAGCGUUGUCCGGAAUUAUUGGGCGUAAAGGGUGCGUAGGCGGCCUUUUAAGUCAGAUGUGAAAGGCUACGGCUUAACCGUAGUUAGCAUUUGAAACUAAAAGGCUUGAGUGCAGGAGAGGAGAGUGGAAUUCCUAGUGUAGCGGUGAAAUGCGUAGAUAUUAGGAGGAACACCAGUGGCGAAGGCGACUCUCUGGACUGCAACUGACGCUGAGGCACGAAAGCGUGGGGAGCGAACA
This 397-nucleotide ribosomal RNA is filed under the name uncultured bacterium. Its description in RNAcentral is "partial 16S ribosomal RNA". It matches the Rfam family "Bacterial small subunit ribosomal RNA", at positions 361 to 774 of the family's 1533-position model. The record is from RNAcentral.